RNAcentral lists this ribosomal RNA (477 nucleotides) under uncultured organism. RNAcentral describes it as "partial 16S ribosomal RNA". It matches the Rfam family "Bacterial small subunit ribosomal RNA", at positions 331 to 799 of the family's 1533-position model. The record is from RNAcentral.
GUACACUCCUACGGGAGGCAGCAGUGGGGAAUUUUGGACAAUGGGCGAAAGCCUGAUCCAGCAAUGCCGCGUGAGUGAAGAAGGCCUUCGGGUUGUAAAGCUCUUUUGUCAGGGAAGAAACGGUGAGAGCUAAUAUCUCUUGCUAAUGACGGUACCUGAAGAAUAAGCACCGGCUAACUACGUGCCAGCAGCCGCGGUAAUACGUAGGGUGCAAGCGUUAAUCGGAAUUACUGGGCGUAAAGCGUGCGCAGGCGGUUUUGUAAGUCUGAUGUGAAAUCCCCGGGCUCAACCUGGGAAUUGCAUUGGAGACUGCAAGGCUAGAAUCUGGCAGAGGGGGGUAGAAUUCCACGUGUAGCAGUGAAAUGCGUAGAUAUGUGGAGGAACACCGAUGGCGAAGGCAGCCCCCUGGGUCAAGAUUGACGCUCAUGCACGAAAGCGUGGGGAGCAAACAGGAUUAGAUACCCCAGUAGUCCCAUG